GGGUCGGGGGCUGCAGGUGGGAGUGAGCAAAUGUGCUGUCUCGCCACCUCGGGACAGGUGGUAGGGCCUCUGACACAGAGUGGUCCUUCCUGCUGUUCACAGCUCAGCUCACCGUGGGCUGACCAUAGAUUCUCGUUGAAAUCCUAACGCCCCAGGCAAUGAUGUUAGGAGGCGGGGCUUCUGGGAGAUGGCAAGUUCGUGAGGCUGCAGCUCUGCUGGGGGAUCAGUGUCCUUCUACAAGCGGCUCCAGGGAGGUCCCUUGCCCCUUCCACCAUGUGAGGACCCGAGAUGGUGCCGUCUAUGAACCGGGAAGUGAGUCCUCUCCGGACGUGGAACAAGUUGGUGCCUUGAUUUUGAACUUGCAGCCUCCAGCACGGCCACUAGCACGUUUGAAGUCACACACAGGGUAGCGCCGGCCUGGACAGAGGCGGACAUCUGACAAGCGGGCCAAUGAGGAUGACAUCUCGGACGGUAGUCACUGCUACAACGAAAGUCAGUGCCCCACCUUGCCCAGCCGCAGGGUGGACCCUAAGCAGCUCGCCCCACCCAGCCGGUCCUGCCUGCUCUGUCCCUCCCAACCCUGCAAUGGGCAGAUUUCUGGGGGGCAGUCUCUGACCCACUGUGGCCCAGGUACAGAACCCCGCCUUCAA
Molecule: long non-coding RNA, 650 nt
Organism: Homo sapiens (human)
Lineage: Eukaryota; Metazoa; Chordata; Mammalia; Primates; Hominidae
Source: Ensembl